AUGUGUGAGGUGGCUGCAACACUGGGUCCAGUUCUGGAAAUUGACAUGAACACCAUUGCCAAGGAGAAGAUUAGAGCCAAGGUUGGAAUAAGAGAUUAUGAAAAAAUUCCAGCCUACACUGAAGUCACAGAUAAGGACCUGAUGAUAUACAAGAUUGUCCCUGAACUAGAAAGUGUUGUUGAGAUGGGAUGGUAUGGAGAACAUAAGAGACAGGAGAGUGAGGGAGCAGAGGCAGAACACAGUGAGGGAGUCAUGAGGAAAAGGCACAAAGGAGAAGAUGAUAACGUGAUAGGGAAUAAAGAGAUGAUAUCUUUGGGUAGUUUGGGACUAGCACAAUUUGAGGAGCUGAAGAAGAAAAAUGUGGAAAUAAUGAGAAUCCAAAAGGAACAAGCUAUAGAGAUGGAGGCAAGGAAAAAAGUGGAGACUAGUAUGGAAAUGAUCAUGAAGAAGGUGACAGAUCUAGAGGAAGACAAGGCAAGACAAAAAGCUCUCAGAAUGAAGGAAGAAAAGAAGAUCAUGGAAUUGGAACAAGAGAAGAAAGUACUCAUGGAAAUGAUCAAUAAACAGCAAGGUGUGAUUGAUAGAUGUGUGGAUAAAAUUGAGAUGUGGGAAACAAGAGAGAAAGAAUUGGAGGAGAUAACUGAUACUGAUCUGAGAAACAUGGACACUGACAAAAAGGAAGAAAAUCACAAUAAUUACAAUGAGGCAGUGGACUACAAUGCUAGUCAAGAAUCUGUCUCCUUUGCUACUAAGGUAGGAGUGAAAACUGGAGAAAAUGAGGCAGAAAACAGUGAGACAGAGGAGGAACAACUUAGAAGGUGUGGGAGGUUGGCUGGCAAGCAGGAUUCUAAAAUUGAAGAUCUGGCCAAGGAGAGAGCGGCUGCCAAAGAUAAUUAUGAAAAAAAAAGCCGGAGGAAAGACUAA
This 924-nucleotide ribosomal RNA is filed under the name Triticum aestivum (bread wheat). RNAcentral describes it as "partial small subunit ribosomal RNA". The record is from RNAcentral. Lineage: Eukaryota; Viridiplantae; Streptophyta; Magnoliopsida; Poales; Poaceae.